RNAcentral lists this unclassified non-coding RNA (1448 nucleotides) under uncultured fungus. RNAcentral's name for it is "sequence contains 18S rRNA gene, ITS1, 5.8S rRNA gene, ITS2, 28S rRNA gene". The stretch from base 506 to 1448 matches the Rfam family "Eukaryotic large subunit ribosomal RNA", at positions 1 to 961 of the family's 3401-position model. The record is from RNAcentral. Lineage: Eukaryota; Fungi.
GGAAGGAUCAUUAAAGUAUAUUGAAUUCACAUUCAUAUCAACCCACCCUGUGUACCUUAUUACUGUUGCUUCCAUGGGACUUGGCUACGCCACGUCGGCCCUCGGGCUGGUGAGCGCCCAUGGGAGGAAAUCAAAACUCUUUUUUAUACAUGACGUCUGUCUGAACUGUUUAUUUUAAACGUUAAAACUUUCAACAACGGAUCUCUUGGUUCUCGCAUCGAUGAAGAACGCAGCGAAAUGCGAUAAGUAGUGUGAAUUGCAGAAUUCAGUGAAUCAUCGAAUCUUUGAACGCACAUUGCGCCUCCUGGUAUUCCGGGAGGCAUGCCUGUUCGAGCGUCAUCAAAAACCUCAGUCUCUGAUUUAUCAUUGAUUGGUCCUGCAUCGGAUGCCCAGUGUGUCCCCUGCGAAAUUGAAUGGCGAAGAGCCACGCAACCAAAGCGUAGUAUUAAUUUCUCGCGAUGGACGUGUGAGUGCUUCCGCCGCAAACCCCCAUAUUCUUAGUUUUUGACCUCGGAUCAGGUAGGGAUACCCGCUGAACUUAAGCAUAUCAAUAAGCGGAGGAAAAGAAACCAACAGGGAUUGCCUUAGUAACUGCGAGUGAAGCGGCAAAAGCUCAAAUUUGAAAUCUGGCGCUUCCGGCGUCCGAGUUGUAAUUUGUAGAGAUUUCUUCGGAGUGAACACCGGUCCAAGUUCCUUGGAACAGGACGUCACAGAGGGUGAGAAUCCCGUGUCUGGCCGGCUGUUUCAUUCCAUGUGAAGAGUCUUCGACGAGUCGAGUUGUUUGGGAAUGCAGCUCAAAAUGGGUGGUAAAUUUCAUCUAAAGCUAAAUAUUGGCGAGAGACCGAUAGCGCACAAGUAGAGUGAUCGAAAGAUGAAAAGCACUUUGAAAAGAGAGUUAAAAAGUACGUGAAAUUGUUGAAAGGGAAGCGCUUGAGACCAGACUCAAUUUAUGGUGAUCAGCAGUCCUUCUGGGCUGUGCACUUGCCAUUCUUUGGGACAGCAUCGGUUCUGACCGUGUGAUAAAGGUCCAGGGAACGUGGCUCCUCUCGGGGAGUGUUAUAGCCCUGGGCGUAAUGACAUGAGUUGGGACCGAGGACCGCGCUUCGGCUAGGAUGCUGUCAUAAUGGUCUUCAGCGACCCGUCUUGAAACACGGACCAAGGAGUCUAACAUCUAUGCGAGUGUUCGGGUGGAAAACCCUUGCGCGUAAUGAAAGUGAACGGAGGUGGGAACCCCUCGGGGUGCACCAUCGACCGAUCCUGAUGUCUUCGGAUGGAUUUGAGUAAGAGCAUAGCUGUUGGGACCCGAAAGAUGGUGAACUAUGCCUGAAUAGGGUGAAGCCAGAGGAAACUCUGGUGGAGGCUCGCAGCGGUUCUGACGUGCAAAUCGAUCGUCAAAUUUGGGUAUAGGGGCGAAAGACUAAUCGAACCAUCUAGUAGCUGGUUCCUGC